UUUAAUAAAAAUGUAGAGAGCAAAAAACAAAAAACUGGAGAAAUUCUAUUCAUUAACUUAAUUUUCUGGGAAUUAGCCUAUUUCUUCAUUCAUUCAACAAAGACUGAUUGGGCAGUUACUGUGUGCCAGGCACCGUGCCAGGCGGAGGAGACACACAGAAGUAAGGUGCAGGCCUGCCUUCCAGAAGAUGUCUAGUCAUGGCUGCGGUCGAGAAAACGCUAACAGGACCAGAGGAAGUGAAUGCCGUGGUGGAAACAGUGGAGGGACCUACGGAGCCUAGAGCCCAGGGCCAGGGAGGGCAUCCUGGAGGAUGAGCCAUGAGAGAUUCAUGAAAACAUGAGUCCUAGAGCUGCAGUGGGGAGAGAAGCUGGGGAAGGCGCAGCAGCAGAGCAAAGGAACGUGGACAGAGGUGCUGAGGCGUAUGGGACCUUCGUCUUUCUGGGCGCCCUGGGUUUGGGGGAGGGAGGGGAGUAGAGGCAACUAGCCCCCAGGGCUGUGUCAUGACCUUCCAGGGCAUGCUUUCCUUGGGGGUGUGUAGGGAGCAGGUCUUCUCCUAUAAAAAUAUUACAAAUUAUGUUUUAUGACUAUGUUGGAAUAAAGAAUAUAAUCUUUGACCCUAA
Molecule: long non-coding RNA, 620 nt
Organism: Orcinus orca (killer whale)
Lineage: Eukaryota; Metazoa; Chordata; Mammalia; Artiodactyla; Delphinidae
Exons: 2
Source: RefSeq, a predicted model, not a curated record